UACGUAGGUGGCAAGCGUUGUCCGGAUUUAUUGGGUUUAAAGGGUGCGUAGGCGGUUUUAUAAGUCAGUGGUGCAAUACGGCAGCUUAACUGUCGAGGUGCAAUUGAUACUGGAGGACUUGAGUACAGACGAGGUAGGCGGAAUUGACGGUGUAGCGGUGAAAUGCAUAGAUAUCGUCAAGAACACCGAUAGCGAAGGCAGCUUACUAGACUGUAACUGACGCUGAGGCACGAAAGUGUGGGGAUCAAACAGG
RNAcentral lists this ribosomal RNA (253 nucleotides) under uncultured bacterium. RNAcentral's name for it is "partial 16S ribosomal RNA". It matches the Rfam family "Bacterial small subunit ribosomal RNA", at positions 524 to 776 of the family's 1533-position model. The record is from RNAcentral.